UUCUGGUUGAUCCUGCCAGUAGUCAUAUGCUUGUCUCAAAGAUUAAGCCAUGCAUGUCUAAGUAUAAGCAAUUUAUACAGUGAAACUGCGAAUGGCUCAUUAAAUCAGUUAUCGUUUAUUUGAUAGUUCCUUUACUACAUGGUAUAACUGUGGUAAUUCUAGAGCUAAUACAUGCUUAAAAUCUCGACCCUUUGGAAGAGAUGUAUUUAUUAGAUAAAAAAUCAAUGUCUUCGGACUCUUUGAUGAUUCAUAAUAACUUUUCGAAUCGCAUGGCCUUGUGCUGGCGAUGGUUCAUUCAAAUUUCUGCCCUAUCAACUUUCGAUGGUAGGAUAGUGGCCUACCAUGGUUUCAACGGGUAACGGGGAAUAAGGGUUCGAUUCCGGAGAGGGAGCCUGAGAAACGGCUACCACAUCCAAGGAAGGCAGCAGGCGCGCAAAUUACCCAAUCCUAAUUCAGGGAGGUAGUGACAAUAAAUAACGAUACAGGGCCCAUUCGGGUCUUGUAAUUGGAAUGAGUACAAUGUAAAUACCUUAACGAGGAACAAUUGGAGGGCAAGUCUGGU
This 562-nucleotide ribosomal RNA is filed under the name uncultured Saccharomyces. RNAcentral describes it as "SSU rRNA". It matches the Rfam family "Eukaryotic small subunit ribosomal RNA", at positions 1 to 565 of the family's 1831-position model. The record is from RNAcentral. Lineage: Eukaryota; Fungi; Ascomycota; Saccharomycetes; Saccharomycetales; Saccharomycetaceae.